GCUGCCCCUAGAUGCCUUGCAGGUGUGGCUGCUGUAUCAUGUGUGCAUCAGUAGGUGGCAGAAAGGAGAAAGUCUAUGUCUCAGCUAUGUCUACAAUCAUUGGUCUGACCUAUAAAUAUCUGAAUAAUUAGUAACCUAACAUC
Mus spicilegus (steppe mouse) is the source of this 143-nucleotide small nucleolar RNA. Ensembl annotates it as predicted gene, 25904. The record is from Ensembl. Lineage: Eukaryota; Metazoa; Chordata; Mammalia; Rodentia; Muridae.